UUCUUCUUCUUCUUCUUCUUCUUCUUCAAGAACAUCGUUCCACUUAAAGAACGCCUAUUUAAUUACCUGUAUUUAUUAUGUAGCUAGAACAUAGACCCCUAGAAUUGACACUGAGGACCUUUGCACUAUUCUUUGUUUAAACCACUUUUGGCAGCAGCGGGUGAGUGGAUAGCAAGUAGUGGUUAAAAAGAAAAGACUUUGGGGAAAUAUCUUGGCUCGUCCCUGCUCAGGGUACUUAAUCUGGCCCCUCGCUCGUAGGAGAAAAUGGAGCUGGCUUGCUGUGUUCAUCAUAAAUACAGUAUUCAGCCUGAAGGGGAGGUAGUGCAAAUGAGUGAGUCACACUAUCUUGUGACAGGUAGAAGAGACAAACAUUAUCUCAUAAGCCUUCGGGGUAAAGACCUUUGAUGAUUUAAGAGCUGGAAGGCAUACAGACACACCAAAAUUGAGGAGGCCUAUACAAGUAGCUAAACUUGUAGCUAAUCAUCAGAGCACACGUGGCUGACACCUCAUAGUGAGUCAGUUGUAUCUGACUGAUAUUCUUGCACAUCUCUACUGACAGAAUGCAUUGUGGGCUGGUGGUGAUGAGCAGAGUGGCCCCACAUUUGGUGUGGAGCAGUGUCUGCCUACAGAACAGAAGUUGCUGCUGCUGCUUGAAGCACUGUUAUGGAUAUCUCUACCCCUGUCUCUACACUGUAGACUCUUGGCUUUCAUUUGAAAUCAAUGUAAAUGUAUUCAUGUAAUUUGUGUGCGGUAUUCAUUGAAGCUGCAGCGAAUGAUGGCCUGAAUCAUACGGUUAGUCCUAAGUAAUGCAGACCCAUUGAAUCAAUGGGCUUCACCUAUAUGUUGAUUUACAGUUCAGCAAUGGAUUCAGUGGCCUCUCUCUAGUUGAGAAUAAUUGAUCGAUGCAAGCUUGUUUUGAACACAUCAGUAGGUUUUUGAAGGGGAAAGGAGCUUUUAAAACCUCAUUUGUCACUUUAAUGCAACAAUCGCAGGUUGACCAAAUUACUUAGCAGAGGUCUCUCCCUACCACACAGAAUAGUGUUGUGUCUGCUGACUUGUAAAUGUAUUGAUGGUGCUGUAUCUACAACAGUGUCCUAUACUCAUAGAGAUUGCAUUUCUUUCUAGUGCUGGCAUGCCAGUUGAAUAUCUUGUUUAACUGGUUUCAUACUCCUCUCUUUCACCUACCAUGAGUAGCUGAAGAGGGUUGAGGAGUACCUCUUGUGGUUGUGUAGCAACAACAAGACCAGUUUUUCUUUGUCUUUGCUUCCCACUCCAACCCCAUUCUUUCUUAGAAAAUCUCCAGGAGCAUUUAAUUGUUAGGUGAAAGCCAGGGACAUCAGCUGUAUCCAGUAACUGGAAACCCAAGAGCUUGUUUUGUAUGAGAGGUAGUUUUGGGUUGUGACCUCAGAAUCCACCAUCCAUCAUAGCCACUUACUCAUGUCUACUGUUUAUCCUGAUCUCUCCAACAUCCAAAGCUUAUCUUCCCAUUUGUUCAAAAAAGCCUCUCCUUUACAAUGCCAUUUGGCCCCUUCUUUUGAAACUGAUGCCAUUGGAAAUUGCAGAAUUGUUCCUGGUCUGUAUCUUUUUCAGUUGCAGGGAAGCUCUUCUAUAUUUUAAAAUAUUUUCUCAGAAAAGUAAGAUGAGUAAGAGAGAAUUCCCACCUGGUUCGGGAGAGGAGCCACUGCCAAGGCUAUUAUGAUGUCUAGUACUUUUGUGUCUGCAGAGACUCUUUUAUCCCCUACAUUUCCCCAUAUGGUCUCUUCUUUGCAGAGGGAACUGGUCCAGGAUGGAGACCGUUCUGCCUUCUUUCUCUAACAAGGCAUUGGAAAACAGUAUCGUACAUUUUCUCUCAACUACUUUUUCACCUUCCAUCUCCUGUACCUUGCGAGCCAGUAAGAUAUAUAAUUUCUGGCAUUGAGAAUUCUCUGGAAGUAAUCUAUUUUGGAUUAAUUAUCACUUAUGGCCGUGAGUAGUCUGCAAUUUUGAGGACUUUUCUCACCUUAUCCAGUUUAAUGAGACAAAAUUGGUAUUGUAUCGAGGAGUGGAUUUGGUACAGAACUGAAAGCUCCUCUUCUAGGGACAUUUUUGUUCCUUCACCACUCCCUCUCUCUAUUGUCUUCCCUAGCAUCUGCCUUAAAACUAGGUGUUCAGUUGCUUAACAAGAAAUCAAGAAAUCAUAACUUAUUUUCUGUAGCAGGCGCAGAAGGAUGCUUGCUCUGAGUCAUUUAAGUGGAAACCAUGAUUAUUACUAUUAUGUUUAAAAUUGCAACGGCGUAGAGCUCAGACUGGAACUAACAAUUGCCUGUUCCUGGUGCACUAUGUUAUUCGGUUUCACUUAUCUAUCUUCUCUGACUUCUGCUAAUGCAGAUCAGACCUGAAGUGGCUACUCUCUAGAUUACAAGGAAACAAGAUGCUAUGUAGACCUUAGGCUAAGCAAUUUGAAAAAGAGGUGGAAGGACUCCACACCUGCAUUUAUGUCAGCAUCCAAAGUGCUUUUGUGACCUUCUCGGUGAACUUUAAAAAGGGAAAGUAUAGUGGUAGCAAAUGGUGGUGUGGGGACAGAAGUGGAGAGAGGAAUUUGAAGGCCUUAAGCACAGUAUGAAAAAAAAAGCAGAAAUGACCAUGAUAUACCAGCCUCGAUCAACAUGGCACCCUCCAUAUGUGUUGAGAACCACUGGUCUAAACCAUGUUGCAUUUCCCAUCCUAUCUAAUACUGGUGGGGAUUAUGGAAAUGGAGUUCAGCAUUUACAAAAGGCAAUAGAUUGGGCAAGCUGUUUUACACAUUCGCUGAAAAUACUAGGGCUGGUCUAUCUACCUAAAAGGGAUAUGUAGAAAAAUUAUCCACAAGGGUGUACUACCACUGUCCAGUGCAAUUCCUGCGGCAACAACUGAGCAAUAUUCUGCAGAGAGGAGUCAAGAAAUGAGAGCUCCAUUUCUCAAGGAAGGGAUAUAUAGGGGCUCUCUCAUACUGUACUAGCAAAACGUAAUCACUUUUUGUGCCCCCUGUUGGCUAAGGAAUACGUGGGACUUGCCAAAUAAGUAGAAGAAGCCCUUUAAAAUCUAAUUUAUAAAUAACUUUUGUAAGGAUAAAUCAAAGUGUACAUACUGAAAUCAUUUUCUCUGUAAAUGGUUGGAUUUCAUUUCACCCUUAAAGGGAUGUUUAAAGGAAGAAAUAAAACAAAUUACAAACCGUGAAA
Molecule: long non-coding RNA, 3197 nt
Organism: Anolis carolinensis (green anole)
Lineage: Eukaryota; Metazoa; Chordata; Lepidosauria; Squamata; Anolidae
Exons: 2
Source: RefSeq, a predicted model, not a curated record